Ochotona princeps (American pika) is the source of this 251-nucleotide long non-coding RNA. RefSeq lists it as uncharacterized. The record is from RefSeq and is a predicted model, not a curated record. Lineage: Eukaryota; Metazoa; Chordata; Mammalia; Lagomorpha; Ochotonidae. The transcript is spliced from 3 exons.
CUCACAGUGGAUCUAAAUUGAGCAAUCAGCCUGUACAGGGUCAGAAGCAGGGAAACGGAAGAUGGGCCCUGUCCUGGGCCCCCCAAGUAAUGGGGUCAUGUAUGGAUAUUGUCUCUAAAAGAAGUCUAAUUCAAAUUUCAGUAUUUCCAAAAUUUCCAGGACAGGCCAAGUAUACACAGAAGAUUAACACCUGCCAUGAGGACAUGUCACGUGUACAUCUGCUGACUACCCUCAACCAUCAAAGACAUCCC